AGAGUUUGAUCCUGGCUCAGAUUGAACGCUGGCGGCGUGCUUAACACAUGCAAGUCGUGCGGUAACAGGCGUAGCAAUACGUGCUGACGAGCGGCGAACGGGUGCGUAAUACAUGGGAAUCUGCCUUUUAGUGGGGAAUAACCCGGCGAAAGCCGGGCUAAUGCCGCAUAAGAUCUUCGGAUGAAAGCGGGGGAUCGUAAGACCUCGCGCUGAUAGAUGGGCCCAUGCCGGAUUAGCUAGUUGGUGAGGUAACGGCUCACCAAGGCGACGAUCCGUAGCUGGUCUGAGAGGACGGCCAGCCACACUGGGACUGAGACACGGCCCAGACUCCUACGGGAGGCAGCAGUGGGGAAUAUUGGACAAUGGGGGAAACCCUGAUCCAGCGACGCCGCGUGUGUGAAGAAGGCCUGCGGGUUGUAAAGCACUUUCGGUGGGAACGAAAUAUGCCGGGCUAAUACCCCGGUAGGCUGACGUACUCAAGAAGAGA
Molecule: ribosomal RNA, 487 nt
Filed under: uncultured Beggiatoa sp.
Lineage: Bacteria; Pseudomonadati; Pseudomonadota; Gammaproteobacteria; Thiotrichales; Thiotrichaceae
Description: bacterial SSU rRNA
Rfam family: Bacterial small subunit ribosomal RNA
Source: RNAcentral